This is a long non-coding RNA of Dicentrarchus labrax (European seabass), 3972 nucleotides long. RefSeq lists it as uncharacterized. The transcript is spliced from 2 exons. The record is from RefSeq and is a predicted model, not a curated record. NCBI's taxonomy places the organism in Eukaryota, Metazoa, Chordata, Actinopteri, Moronidae.
AUUUUACUGGGUUCGUACAUGUGCUGCAAAUGACAGCACUUGAAUUUCCAUGUGGUGUGUUUAAGGUCUGAAAAGUGCUUAGAUUUUGUAUAAAGUGCUUGAAAUAGCAUGAAAUCUUAAUUGCAUUACAUAAUGAAUCACUAUCUAACUGAAUAGUUCGCUUUUUUUGAGAACCACAUAUCUUUUCUAAUUUUAAUUCAAGAGGGCUUAUAAAUGGUUAAUUUAGCUUCAGAAGUGGGAACAUUUUCUCAACCCAUAAAGAAACACUCUUACCUUCAGUUUAUCAAAAAAAAUCACCUUCAAAAUCACCACAAAUGGAGAUAAAUGGAUUCCACUGGAGAGACAAUUGAAAACAGUUUGGCUGGCGACGCAUUUUGGUGUCACCUGCUUAGUAUGUUGCUAAUAUUAGCGUGUCAGCACACUAUUGUAGAAUCCUUUAGCACACAUGUGACUACUUUAGGUAAUUGGAAUAAGAUCACUAAUAAUUUAAUAAUAAAAGUGGGGAAUUGUCAGUCAAUGCAUGCAUGUAUUUACACAGCUGCAUAAAGUGACAAAUGAUGACCGUGAUGAUCCGGGCCUUGUUUUUAAAUGUAUUCAUUACUGUGGCUUAAAGCUUCGCUCGGUGCACAGUUUCAGAUUCAAACAUAUUUAGUGCAUGGUGUUUAUUUUGGAAACAUUUUGGAAUUGGAACCUUUUGAACUGGAUUCAGCCUUGGUUACCACGGAGAGCAUCCAUGUAUCUUUCAAACCUCUCUGACUUCAUGAACCUGCAGAAGAUAAUUCAACUUAAUUCACAUGUUAAAGGUAAGAAAACACAUUUUCUUAAGCUGUUUUAUUUCUAUGUGAUGGUCUGUAGUUUAGAGGAGUGUGUCCUCAAGAAAACUUAAAUCCAGACAAACAGAUUUGGCUGCCAGAGCUUCACUGGCAGAUAAAGCACUCAAGAGCCAACCAUCAUGAAUUUACUUAAAUUACUUUACUUAAGUUGGUUGUUAGUUUUUCAAUGUGAAACCUUUUAAUUUCGGUAUUUAGUGGAAUCAAUUGAUUAGCUAGUUAAAUUGUUUUGUAAAUUUACUACGUUAACUCUUGUCUUGUUGGGAAGUGGAGGCCCUUUUCCUUUGCACAAGUAAAGACAAUUAAAUUGUUUUAUUGUUCCCAUUUUCCAAAUAUAGUUCAUUUUUAAGCUGAAGUUUGAAUAUUAACCAUAAAAAAGAACUAUAGCAACACUAACGUUACUUAAUAUGGAAACUUGUGUUUUCAAGGACUCUUACUAUCUUUAUUUGAUUUGGUCAGAGUUGAUUCACGGAUGGAGGGAUAUCUGGUAGAAGAGAAGAGUAAUACCAGCAGCACAAUGAGUUCAUCAGCAGAGAACUGCAAAAACUCAGAAAGACCUCAUGAUGAAGGUGAGAAGAGUAUAAAGGGAGGACCGCUGAAUCAACAUAAGCGUAUCCACACUCAAGGAAAGUCUUACCCCUGUGACCAGUGUUGGAGGGUUUUCACUCAGCUGUCAGGUUUGAAGAUUCAUCGGCGUAUCCACACUGGAGAAAAGCCUUACCUCUGGGAACCGUGUGAGAAGAGUUUCAGUCUAUCAUCAAGUUUGGAGGUCCAUAAGUAUAUCUACGCUGGAGAAAGUUGUCAGUGCACACACACUGUUUCGAAAGCAUAUUUGAACUGAACUGUAUGAAAGCUUUUGCUGUUAUAAUGUGAUUUGGCUUGGGAAAAGUUGUCUGCGUCUCAAUAAUGUCUCAAUAAUAUUCAUAUGCAUACAACCUAUGUUGUCAAAUUGUAUUGUUUUUACUUCCGCUGUCAAAGCUAAUAUAGCAAUACACGAGAAUGCAAAAACUGAAGGAUUCUAAGAUAGUGUGCUAGCUUGCCAAUUGACUGUAAUUAUUUCAAAAUGCCACACUAGCAGCUAGGGUUGGGUAACCUUCACAUUGGAACCAGUACCAGGGCCAAAUGCAUAAAAUUUGGUACCUUUUUUGUGGGUAGUUUCUGUACUUCUGUCCCUUUUUUGUUAACAAAAAUGUCAUUUCAGUUGUAAAAAAAAACAAAUUUCUCUCACUACUGUGUUGUUUGUGUAAUAUUUCCCUGUAAAUAGCAUGCAAUUCAUGUACUGUUUGUUUCAUACUAAGGUGUCAGGCAUACUAAAAAAUCUCACAUGUAUGGUCGAUCAGCACACUUGCUAACCUCCAAUGAUCAUAGCCUAAAUCAGGAGACCGAACCUAACCAGGGUAUCUGGGGAUUUUCCCAACUACGUUAAUGAUUUUGCAAAGGCAUACUAACCUAAUAAUAACAAUAAUAAUCUCUUACUGGGAAUCAAUGUCAGAGUGUCAGAGACACAGAGCAUCCUCAUACCAUAGUUACUCACUCACUCCUACAAGUGCAAGAGGUGCUCUGUGUUUCUUUUCAUUCUGUUCAUCUGUUAUAAAUUAGUUUUUUGCUGCGGGAGAAAAUGAAUUUGUGGCACGAGAGCCUGUGAGAAGUUUCAAUUGGUCAAUGUGUGAGUUGACAGUCCUGUGGCUGACGCUAGUAAGAAUGCUAAGCUAACGCCAACCAAGAGAGUUAAAAACAGCAAGUUAUCUCCAACUUAUCCAACUAGCUAAUUAAAACUGACUUAAAGUCUCGUCGUACAUGGAGGGUUUAACUUUGGUGCUGGCUGCAGGCGUGCUAACGUUAGCCGUGGUUGCUUCAUUGAAUGUGUUAACAAUAGUUGUUUUAGGAAAUGAUGGUAAACUAAAUCAUUUGUGUCACACGUAUCAAUCCUCUGGGCCCCAGUAGGAUUAUAUAAAUGUUUCUUCAGUUCACUGUGAACCCUCUUAAAUGAGCAUUUAUCUUACACAAUCCAAACAAACACAAAGAAAUGGACAAUCACAAGUUGUUUUCAUUUUAAAACACACAACCUCCAUCCACAACAUUUGUCUCCAUUUGCCUCCUGAGUCAUCAUUCAGAAUCUUACAAAAGAGAUGCUUCACUGGAUGAUGCUAGGUUUUCUAAAUAAAAGAGAAAUGUCCCACACUCCAACCUAGAGUCCUGUACGGGUCCAAACCUGCACCUGCAGAGCUCAGAACCAGAACCAACCCAUUACCUGCAAUUAUCUCCAAGUCAAACCCAGAUCGUUAAAAAAAAGACCCACGAUCUGACCAGCGCUUCACACAGUCGUAUUUUUACUGCCGCAAUUGUAAGUGUUGUUAUAUAAUUAGCAGUAGUCUGUUCGUCUCAGUCACCAACUGUUGCCACUCACAAUGCUGCUGCGUCCACACGAUCAGAUGGACAUCGAUGUCAAUUAAGUCCUUUGUCAGUUUGUGAAAUCCAUCUCUGCCUGCAGUUUUAAAAGAUCUGAUCUUGGUCAUAGUGUUCUUGUCCUCUGUUACAGCGAUUUGAGAGUUGUGUUAUUGGAAAAAUUUCUGUUUACUGGCGCAGCACCUGAGCUCUUGCUGCAGCUGUAUGUCCUCAAAGAGGAUGUGCAAGCUUGCAGCUUUCACAAUAAAAGAGCAUCCUGGCAGCAGAUUAGGCUUGAUAAUAUUUAACUGAUUUAAAUGUUAAAAAUAGCCUACACAGUCAUUUUCUCCAGAGGAAACCAUACAUUGUUGUUUCAUCCACUGCCUACUGGCAUUUGAUAAUUUGUCAACGUCAAUAUAUUUUUUACCCAAGUUACCUGAACCGCUGCAGUACUCUACUCUGGUAUUUUAGGCUCUAUCAGAGGAAUUUCUGAUACUGGUAUAAGCAUCAGACCAAUUUAAAAGCUGUGUUAUGAAGCUAUAUGUUGGAAUUUUACAUCACAAUGUCUAAAAAACGCUAGACCUAUGUUAUAUGUUGUUGAGUUUUGUACCAAUGUUAUCCCAAAUGUUUCCAACAACAUCCCAGAGAAAUAUGUGAUAUUUUUCUCACCUCUAACUGUUGUAACUUCAGCAUAUCAGAAUUAGGAAGGAAGUCGGCAAAUGUGACUAAAUGUAACAUGAAUAAAGCUUUUACAUUC